This 712-nucleotide ribosomal RNA is filed under the name Vibrio navarrensis. Its description in RNAcentral is "partial 23S ribosomal RNA". It matches the Rfam family "Bacterial large subunit ribosomal RNA", at positions 2239 to 2925 of the family's 2925-position model. The record is from RNAcentral. Lineage: Bacteria; Pseudomonadati; Pseudomonadota; Gammaproteobacteria; Vibrionales; Vibrionaceae.
UCGGGGUCGCGGACAGUGCCUGGUGGGUAGUUUGACUGGGGCGGUCUCCUCCCAAAGAGUAACGGAGGAGCACGAAGGUGGGCUAAUCACGGUUGGACAUCGUGAGGUUAGUGCAAUGGCAUAAGCCCGCUUAACUGCGAGAAUGACGGUUCGAGCAGGUGCGAAAGCAGGUCAUAGUGAUCCGGUGGUUCUGAAUGGAAGGGCCAUCGCUCAACGGAUAAAAGGUACUCCGGGGAUAACAGGCUGAUACCGCCCAAGAGUUCAUAUCGACGGCGGUGUUUGGCACCUCGAUGUCGGCUCAUCACAUCCUGGGGCUGAAGUCGGUCCCAAGGGUAUGGCUGUUCGCCAUUUAAAGUGGUACGCGAGCUGGGUUUAGAACGUCGUGAGACAGUUCGGUCCCUAUCUGCCGUGGGCGUUGGAAGAUUGAAGGGGGCUGCUCCUAGUACGAGAGGACCGGAGUGGACGAACCUCUGGUGUUCGGGUUGUGUCGCCAGACGCAUUGCCCGGUAGCUAAGUUCGGAAUCGAUAACCGCUGAAAGCAUCUAAGCGGGAAGCGAGCCCUGAGAUGAGUCUUCCCUGAUACUUUAAGUAUCCUAAAGGGUUGUUCGAGACUAGAACGUUGAUAGGCAGGGUGUGUAAGCGCUGUGAGGCGUUGAGCUAACCUGUACUAAUUGCCCGUGAGGCUUAACCAUACAACACCCAAAGGGUUUUG